GUUGCUUCCUCCUUGAUCCGUGGGAUUAGCCAUUGCAAAGCUGAGCAAAACUCGAGCCCACCCACCGAAACAAAAUCGCUUCCUCCCUCCCACCGAACCCAUUUGCGCCGCCGGCAACUCCUCUCCCCGCCGACCACCUCCCCGGAACCCCCUCUCUCUAUCCCACCCAUUGGAGCCACCCAAAUCGGGCACCCCCUGGAGAAAGCUUCGGCCUUUUUCCUCCAUGGCGGGCGGCGGCGCGGCAGAUGAUUUUGGUGAGGCGGAGCGAAGAUUGGGCGUCACCGGCGGAGGAGCAGGAAGUCCACGACGACGGUGGCGCCCCUGCAGCGGGUGGUGGUGACCGCGGCGGCUCCGCGCGGGGCAGAUGCGACCCUGGCCUUCACCGACGCCUCCGAUGGCAGCAGCCACGGCGGGAUGCUCGUGGUGGGGGACAGAGAGGCGGUAGCAACCAGUAGAAUCAGUCCUAGCUGGAAGGGAGAUGUCCUAUGAUUUAUUUGGCAUCUCAAGCCUCCUCGCUGUUCCGACCAAGACCUGAGAGGCGACAAAGCUGAUGAUCCAAGCAUGCUGCUACUGCUCCUAGCCUCCACCGACAGCCCUUCUUCUGCCAAAGGGAGGAGAGCUAGUUCAAAGCUCAUCGGAGGAGGAGGAACUGAAGAGAGCGACAUUGGGAGGAGGCCUCGUAGGGGAAGCGUGAGGAGGAGGAACACCAUUACAGCCUAAUGAUCACGACGCCGGCGACAAAAAGAAUGUGUUGUAUGGUGAUCAGCUGACAAAGCAAGCCUCAAAUCGGCAAGAUUUUGCAUCCCAGUGAAUAUAGAGUACGGAAGCUGAUGUUAGUAAUGUGGUAUCCCAGUGAAAACAGAGCAAGGGAAAAGCUCAAGAGAACAAUUCAUAGGCCAUUUAGAGAAAUACAAGUGCUGAAAGAAAACAAGACUGUGGCCAAGAAGAACAGCAUGCAGUACUGAAGGAUGAAAAUAAAAGAGUGAUGCAAACUGGAAGAUGUCCUGAUGGAAGGGGACGAGAUAAACUAACUUGUGGAGAUAAACAGGUUCCAGUUGGCAACGGAGGAGGCUGGAGAAGCAUGAGGUUGCUGUGGUGGUGGUGGAGGUCUCUAGUUGGUGUAGAUUACAUGUUUAAGGUGAGCUUGUCUGGACGCGGCGGUGGUGUUUUUAUACUAUGUUUGGAAUGUUAAACCUGGAGGUCGAGUUGUUUGUAUUAUUUCCGAGCCCUGCCGCCAAGUCGAGUUGUUUGUAUUCUUUCCGUGCGAGUAAAGGAAUCGGAAUGGAGAGAUGUGCUGCUGGCCCUGUGGUAUAGAAGAAGUGUAGGUACAGUAGUACUAGCUAAAUUUAUCUGGGAUGCAGGCUUUUUUUAUUUUUGCGGGUACAGGCUUUUGUUUUUCGUCUGAAUUGGUAAGUAAGGAUCUAUGCUGACCAAACAUGAAAAUAUAGAAUAUAAUCAAGUAAACAUGAGUCAAAUAGUUAAUGCGGAAAACCCAAAGCAGGAACAAAAAUCACAGGUGCAUGACCAUGACAUUUCCAC
Molecule: non-coding RNA, 1539 nt
Organism: Lolium perenne
Lineage: Eukaryota; Viridiplantae; Streptophyta; Magnoliopsida; Poales; Poaceae
Source: RefSeq, a predicted model, not a curated record